GGGUGUAGCUCAGUGGUAGAGUAUGUGUUUAGCAUGCAUGAGGUCCUGGGUUCAAUCCCCAGUACCUCCA
RNAcentral lists this transfer RNA (70 nucleotides) under Camelus bactrianus (Bactrian camel). It matches the Rfam family "tRNA". Rfam says of the family: Transfer RNA (tRNA) molecules are approximately 80 nucleotides in length. Their secondary structure includes four short double-helical elements and three loops (D, anti-codon, and T loops). RNAcentral also lists the same sequence under 3 other names. The record is from Rfam by way of RNAcentral. Lineage: Eukaryota; Metazoa; Chordata; Mammalia; Artiodactyla; Camelidae.